GCCUUGGCAUCAAGAGCCGAUGAAGGACGUUGGAGCCUGCGAUAAGCCCUGGGGAGUUGGCAACCAAGCUGUGAUCCGGGGGUGUCCGAAUGGGGAAACCUGGAAUGUCCGGAGUAGUGUCCGGUGGCCCUGCCCUGAAUGUAUAGGGGUGUGGGUGGUAACGCGGGGAAGUGAAACAUCUUAGUACCCGUAGGAAGAGAAAACAAGUGUGAUUCCGUGAGUAGUGGCGAGCGAAAGCGGAUGAGGCUAAACCG
RNAcentral lists this ribosomal RNA (254 nucleotides) under Ditylum brightwellii. Its description in RNAcentral is "partial Bacterial large subunit ribosomal RNA". It matches the Rfam family "Bacterial large subunit ribosomal RNA", at positions 31 to 276 of the family's 2925-position model. Lineage: Eukaryota; Bacillariophyta; Thalassiosirophyceae; Lithodesmiales; Lithodesmiaceae. The record is from RNAcentral.